This 407-nucleotide ribosomal RNA is filed under the name uncultured bacterium. RNAcentral's name for it is "bacterial SSU rRNA". It matches the Rfam family "Bacterial small subunit ribosomal RNA", at positions 355 to 776 of the family's 1533-position model. The record is from RNAcentral.
UUAGGAAUAUUGGGCAAUGGAGGGAACUCUGACCCAGCAACGCCGCGUGAAGGAAGAAGGUUUUCGGAUUGUAAACUUCUGAUCUGUGGAAAAAAGAAAGUGAUGGUACCACAGGAGCAAGCCACGGCUAACUACGUGCCAGCAGCCGCGGUAAUACGUAGGUGGCGAGCGUUGUCCGGAAUAACUGGGCGUAAAGGGAGCGUAGGUGGUUAGGUAAGUGAAAUGUGAAAGCCCGUGGCUCAACCAUGGAACUGCAUUUCAUACUGUCUAACUAGAGUGCAGGAGGGGUAAGCGGAAUUCCUAGUGUAGCGGUUAAAUGCGUAGAUAUUAGGAGGAACACCAGAGGCGAAGGCGGCUUACUGGACUGCAACUGACACUGAGGCUCGAAAGCGUGGGGAUCAAACAGG